GACGAACGCUGGCGGCGUGCUUAACACAUGCCAGUCGAACGGAAAGGCCCUGCUUUUGUGGGGUGCUCGAGUGGCGAACGGGUGAGUAACACGUGAGUAACCUGCCCUUGACUUUGGGAUAACUUUAGGAAACUGGGGCUAAUACCGGAUAGGAGCUCCUGCUGCAUGGUGGGGGUUGGAAAGUUUCGGCGGUUGGGGAUGGACUCGCGGCUUAUCAGCUUGUUGGUGGGGUAGUGGCUUACCAAGGCUUUGACGGGUAGCCGGCCUGAGAGGGUGACCGGCCACAUUGGGACUGAGAUACGGCCCAGACUCCUACGGGAGGCAGCAGUGGGGAAUAUUGCACAAUGGGCGGAAGCCUGAUGCAGCAACGCCGCGUGCGGGAUGACGGCCUUCGGGUUGUAAACCGCUUUCGCCUGUGACGAAGCGUGGGUGACGGUAAUGGGUAAAGAAGCACCGGCUAACUACGUG
Molecule: ribosomal RNA, 468 nt
Filed under: uncultured bacterium
Lineage: Bacteria
Description: partial 16S ribosomal RNA
Rfam family: Bacterial small subunit ribosomal RNA
Source: RNAcentral